UUUUGCACUAUGAAUUGGAUUUAAGAUCAUUUUGAUUGAGCAGAAACAAUCACAGUUUAUUACCGAAUACUUGGCUAUGGCGGAAAAUGAAGAACUUCGAUCAAGUUUCGGAUGUCCUACUAUUUUCGUCGCGUUUGGAAGGGAAAAAAGAAAAAUCGUCAGCACAUUCUGGUCAUCAUAUUAUGGAAAUAUUUGUGACUGAAUCCCAUCUGAAUGUUGGAUGACAUAUAUCAAGAUGACACUGAACAGGACAUAACUGAGGAAAAUGGAUGUGAGAUAAUCCAAUCUAACAGUUGGAAAUAAAUAUAUAUAGUAUUUA
This is a long non-coding RNA of Gigantopelta aegis, 319 nucleotides long. RefSeq lists it as uncharacterized. The transcript is spliced from 3 exons. The record is from RefSeq and is a predicted model, not a curated record. Lineage: Eukaryota; Metazoa; Mollusca; Gastropoda; Neomphalida; Peltospiridae.